Molecule: ribosomal RNA, 497 nt
Filed under: uncultured bacterium
Lineage: Bacteria
Description: partial 16S ribosomal RNA
Rfam family: Bacterial small subunit ribosomal RNA
Source: RNAcentral
GAUGAACGCUGGCGGCGUGCCUAAUACAUGCAAGUCGAGCGAACAGACGAGGAGCUUGCUCCUCUGACGUUAGCGGCGGACGGGUGAGUAACACGUGGAUAACCUACCUAUAAGACUGGGAUAACUUCGGGAAACCGGAGCUAAUACCGGAUAAUAUAUUGACCCGCAUGGUUCAAUAGUGAAAGACGGUUUUGCUGUCACUUAUAGAUGGAUCCGCGCCGCAUUAGCUAGUUGGUAAGGUAACGGCUUACCAAGGCAACGAUGCGUAGCCGACCUGAGAGGGUGAUCGGCCACACUGGAACUGAGACACGGUCCAGACUCCUACGGGAGGCAGCAGUGGGGAAUCUUCCGCAAUGGGCGAAAGCCUGACGGAGCAACGCCGCGUGAGUGAUGAAGGUCUUCGGAUCGUAAAACUCUGUUAUUAGGGAAGAACAAAAGUGUAAGUAACUAUGCACGUCUUGACGGUACCUAAUCAGAAAGCCACGGCUAACUACGUG